CCUACGGGUAGCUGCAGUAGGGAAUCUUCCACAAUGGACGAAAGUCUGAUGGAGCAACGCCGCGUGAGUGAAGAAGGGUUUCGGCUCGUAAAGCUCUGUUGGUAGUGAAGAAAGAUAGAGGUAGUAACUGGCCUUUAUUUGACGGUCAUUACUUCGAAAUUCACGGCUAACUACGUGCCAGCAGCCGAGGUAAUACGUAGGUUGCAAGCGUUUUCCGGAUUUCUUGGGCGUACAGCGAGUGCAGUCGGUUCAAUAAGUCUGAUGUGAAAGCCUUCGGCUCAACCGGAGAAUUGCAUCAGAAACUGUUGAACUUGAGUGCAGAAGAGGAGAGUGGAACUCCAUGUGUAGCGGUGGAAUGCGUAGAUAUAUGGAAGAACACCAGUGGCGAAGGCGGCUCUCUGGUCUGCAACUGACGCUGAGGCUCGAAAGCAUGGGUAGCGAACAGGAUUAGAUACCCUUGUAGUC
Molecule: ribosomal RNA, 465 nt
Filed under: uncultured bacterium
Lineage: Bacteria
Description: partial 16S ribosomal RNA
Rfam family: Bacterial small subunit ribosomal RNA
Source: RNAcentral